RNAcentral lists this long non-coding RNA (212 nucleotides) under Nicotiana benthamiana. RNAcentral's name for it is "long non-coding RNA (NBEN_LNC033409)". Lineage: Eukaryota; Viridiplantae; Streptophyta; Magnoliopsida; Solanales; Solanaceae. The record is from RNAcentral.
AUUAUUUCCCUGAAUAACUCCAACUGCUCUUCUAACUUGAGUAAUCUCAACUGAAAAUAAAUCGAGCCCACUUUUAACAAUUAAAUUGUAAACAUGAUAUGCACACCUAACAUGAAAAAUAUCAUCAAGAGGUGGUUGCAAAUUCAAUUUUGAAACUGAAACUGCAGCAUUAUUGUUUGAAGCAUUAUCAAAAGACAUACACAAAACUUUUU